This 234-nucleotide long non-coding RNA is filed under the name Ictidomys tridecemlineatus (thirteen-lined ground squirrel). RNAcentral describes it as "lncRNA (ENSSTOG00000030730.1)". Lineage: Eukaryota; Metazoa; Chordata; Mammalia; Rodentia; Sciuridae. The record is from RNAcentral.
CAGGAAGAUGUGCACUGCUGGGAUUGGAGCUCCAAUACUCAGGGGCUUGGAUCAGAGCCUCUACCUGAAGGCUCGGGAAUGGAGGCUCCUUGAAGGACUGAUGAUCACCGUGUGGACUCUGUCGUGCUUACAUCCCUGGGAGCUGAAUGCAGGGAGACGAUCGUCUGCUAGGAUCUGAGACUCUGUCCAACUACUAUGCCCAAAUCAGCAUCAGCAUGCACACCUGGUUUCGUU